This 72-nucleotide transfer RNA is filed under the name Cavia porcellus (domestic guinea pig). It matches the Rfam family "tRNA". Rfam says of the family: Transfer RNA (tRNA) molecules are approximately 80 nucleotides in length. Their secondary structure includes four short double-helical elements and three loops (D, anti-codon, and T loops). Lineage: Eukaryota; Metazoa; Chordata; Mammalia; Rodentia; Caviidae. The record is from Rfam by way of RNAcentral.
UGGGGUGUAGCUCAGUGAUAGAGUGCUUGCCUAACAUGCAUGUGGUCUUGGGCUUGAGUCUCAGUACCACAA